CUACGGGUUGCUCCAGUGGGGAAUAUUGCACAAUGGAGGAAACUCUGAUGCAGCAACGCCGCGUGGAGGAUGACACUUUUCGGAGCGUAAACUCCUUUUAUAUAGGAAGAAGAUGACGGUACUAUAUGAAUAAGCGCCGGCUAACUCCGUGCCAGCAGCCGCGGUAAUACGGAGGGCGCAAGCGUUACUCGGAAUCACUGGGCGUAAAGAGCGUGUAGGCGGAUUAAAAAGUCAGAAGUGAAAUCCUAUAGCUUAACUAUAGAACUGCUUCUGAAACUCUUAACUAGAAUAUGGGAGAGGUAGAUGGAAUUUCUUGUGUAGGGGUAAAAGCCGGAGAGAUCAGAAGGAAUACCGAUUGGGAAGGCGAUCUACUAGAACAUUAUUGACGCUGAGACGCGAAAGCGUGGGGAGCAAACAGGAUUAGAUACCCUCGUAGUC
This 438-nucleotide ribosomal RNA is filed under the name uncultured bacterium. Its description in RNAcentral is "partial 16S ribosomal RNA". It matches the Rfam family "Bacterial small subunit ribosomal RNA", at positions 339 to 795 of the family's 1533-position model. The record is from RNAcentral.